Molecule: unclassified non-coding RNA, 255 nt
Filed under: plant metagenome
Description: partial contains small subunit ribosomal RNA, internal transcribed spacer 1, and 5.8S ribosomal RNA
Rfam family: Eukaryotic small subunit ribosomal RNA (bases 1-54)
Source: RNAcentral
GGAAGUAAAAGUCGCAACAAGGUUUCCGUAGGUGAACCUGCGGAAGGAUCAUUAUUGGAUUUUGAAACUUCAGGCUGCUGCUGGCUCUCCUCGGAGGGCAUGUGCACGCUUGUUGUCCAUUACUUCUCCCACUGUGCACAAAUUGUAGACCUCUCAGUAGGCCUAUGUUGUUUUUCACAAUCUCUGAAUGUAAUAGAAUGGUUUUGAAUCUUGGGAAAUACAAUACAACUUUCAGCAACGGAUCUCUUGGCUCUC